Molecule: long non-coding RNA, 1466 nt
Filed under: Equus asinus (donkey)
Lineage: Eukaryota; Metazoa; Chordata; Mammalia; Perissodactyla; Equidae
Description: lncRNA (ENSEASG00005023532.1)
Source: RNAcentral
CUCUCACACAAUGCUCAAGCCUCUCUCUUCCCUCAUCUGCUGGCUGUAUGUCAAUGCAGGAUGAACUGGAAAGGCGUUUGUUGAAGACAGCGGAGCAUCUGUCAGGCUGUUUCUGAAAGACUGUGGAGCAGAAUACCCUGAAUUUCCACUGCCUCUAAUUGAUAUUAUGUGAGUGAGAGACAAAAUUCUAAUAUGUUAAGCUAUUGAGAUUUGGGGGGUGGUUAUUUCUUUUAGUACUAGCAUACUUUUAAUUAAUAGGAAUAUUGGCUUUGGAAAUGAGGUACAGCUCUCUAAUGAAAAGCUAAAAUAUGUGGAAUUGGCAUGACCGGUAAGGAAACUGUAUCAGACGAUGGGAAGACGGAGACCCACAUAAUACAGCGGUAAAAUAUGUGUUAAAACCGCCACUGGAGACAGCGUGAGGGCAGAUCAAGCCCUCACUGAGCCUGUAGCUCUAGGGGAAGAGAUUGGAAACCGAAUUUUGAGUUGUGUGUUGGUUGUACUGAUUUCAAUUAGGAAGAUAUUUAAAGGAAAAAAAAUGAGUCAGUAAGUAACCGGAUGAUUUUCAAGCAGAAAUAAAAACAAAUACAGAGAGAGAAGAAAUUUGGGGCAUCUAAGAGUUGGAAAAACUAACUGCUUCUAGACCUCAAACAAUAGGAAAAAAGAUUGAAAAUGCCUUUAAGUGAUGGCCCUGUGACAAACACCAGAUUAAGGGCAUAGUCUUUCCCAAGACUCUCAUACUCCUGCAUGACCUCAAGGAUGCUGGCGUUAAGCUGUGUGUAUGUAAGAAAGGCGUGAGGGUGAGGAAGCACGCAAAGAAAUCAAGAUUAAUAAUUAUGUUUAGGAAAGAACUGUGGGUGGGGUUCCUGGCAUGUGGAAGUAAAUGGAUCAGAAGCCUACUAAGUAAAAACAUAUUGCCAAAGAAAUCACAGGCCUGGACUGAAAAAGCCUUUGACUGCUUGAGCCUUAAAAGCAUCCUUGGACCCCCAAACUUGCAAGAUCAAGAAAUGGGCUGAAAAAGCUGCUCAGUCUCCCUGGAGGAAGUCUCCACUCCCACUGCAAACAUGACCAAGAAGCAGAGGGACCAGGACAGGCCUCCCAGAGGGCAAAGCAACAACCAUGGGGAAAAACGGAGAGAGAGGCUUCUUGCCGAAAGCAGAAUCAUGGUCAAGUACACCAGGAACUUCAAAAAGGGAGCGACCCAGGCAUUUCUCACUCGGAGAUGCCCUGCACUGGAAUGUGCUGUGUGCUCAGCCUCACCCUCCUCUGAAUCAUCGCCUCCAGUUGGCACUUUACGCCUCUGGCCACCUUCUGUCUCCUAGCAUCGUUCUUUAUGCAGCUGUCUUAUCUGUCUCACAGGACUGUGAGCUUAAUUCCCAAUGGUCAUCCCCGCCAUCGCCAUCGUAAAGUACCUAGUCUGUUUUCUACGUGUGAAACCAUUUGAGUCUUUCGUACUAUUUGUUGCAGAU